UACAGAGGGUGCAAGCGUUGUUCGGAAUUACUGGGCGUAAAGCGUGCGUAGUCGGUAUUGAGAGUCGCGGGUGAAAUCCCCAAGCUUAACUUGGGAACUGCCUGCGAGACCUCAGUACUAGAGUGUGAGAGGGGAUAGUGGAAUACCCAGUGUAGCGGUGAAAUGCGUAGAGAUUGGAUGGAACACCGGUGGCGAAGGCGGCUAUCUGGCUCACAACUGACGAUCAGGCACGAAAGCGUGGGGAGCAAACAGG
This 253-nucleotide ribosomal RNA is filed under the name uncultured bacterium. Its description in RNAcentral is "partial 16S ribosomal RNA". It matches the Rfam family "Bacterial small subunit ribosomal RNA", at positions 524 to 776 of the family's 1533-position model. The record is from RNAcentral.